Molecule: ribosomal RNA, 307 nt
Filed under: uncultured eukaryote
Lineage: Eukaryota
Description: partial 18S ribosomal RNA
Rfam family: Eukaryotic small subunit ribosomal RNA
Source: RNAcentral
CCCUUAGACGUUCUGGGCCGCACGCGCGCUACACUGACACAGGCAACGAGCUUUCCUUUACCGAAAGGUAUGGGUAAUCUUUUGAGACUGUGUCGUGCUGGGGAUAGAUCCUUGCAAUUUUUGAUCUUAAACGAGGAAUUCCUAGUAAGCGCGAGUCAUCAACUCGCGUUGAUUACGUCCCUGCCCUUUGUACACACCGCCCGUCGCUACUACCGAUUGAAUGGCUUAGUGAGGCCUCAGGAUCCGCGCUUAAUGUGUGGAGAAUUUGGACAAACUACGUCAUUUAGAGGAAGUAAAAGUCGUAACA